RNAcentral lists this ribosomal RNA (245 nucleotides) under Subulicystidium sp. RNAcentral describes it as "partial 28S ribosomal RNA". It matches the Rfam family "Eukaryotic large subunit ribosomal RNA", at positions 106 to 344 of the family's 3401-position model. The record is from RNAcentral. Lineage: Eukaryota; Fungi; Basidiomycota; Agaricomycetes; Trechisporales; Hydnodontaceae.
UGAGCUCAAAUUUGAAAUCUGGCGUCUCCGGCGUCCGAGUUGUAAUCUGGAGAAGCGUUUUCCGUGCCGGACCGUGUACAAGUCCAUUGGAACAUGGCGUCAUAGAGGGUGAGAAUCCCGUCUUUGACACGGACUCCCGGUGCUCUGCGAUGCGCUCUCGAAGAGUCGAGUUGUUUGGGAAUGCAGCUCAAAAUGGGUGGUAAAUUCCAUCUAAAGCUAAAUAUUGGCGAGAGACCGAUAGCGAA